UCUGCCCUGCUCUUAAUUAUCUGUUCAUCCUACACAGGUGCCUGAUCUACAGGUCUGAGGCCUCUGCUUGAAAUGAAAGUUCCAGAAAUAUUUGAUGAACUCCAAACUAAGGGCAUUGUUACAGAGAAGACCAGGCUGAAACUUGUUAAAGUUUGCAUCUCUGACUUGGUGGAAAAGCAUGGAUUGUAAGUACAGUAUAUGAACGUGAAAUGUUUAUGUAUUAUUUUUGUAUCUUUUAAGAGUGGUUAUACAAAUAAGCCCACUUGUCAUGAUUGGACUAUUUUAAGAAUGUACAGCAUAGGUGCCUUGAAUGUAAUUGUGAAUGUUGUAAGAGUAUGAAUUGCAAUGGGGGGAUAAAGUAGACGUUCUCAUUUGCUUGUUAACAGUUGCUUUUUAAUCACACAUUUGACUGUAAGGGCUUCUCGUGUCAUUUUUCAAAAGAAGAGAAAAAACUGUUUAAAAAAAGGGUCAUUAGUUGUUGUUUGUUUGUUUCAAUAGUUAUCCCUCCACUACUGAAAAGGUGGUUCUUGCAAAGAACAUCAUUACCAUCUUCCCGUCCCUAAAAGUCCAAAUUGAUGGCAGAGGAGAAGGCUUUGUGAGUAUAAAGUUUCUUAGUUAAAAACAAAUCAAAAUUAAAACAUAUUGGAUCGCUUGCUCCUCUCACCAGCUCUACUUCCAGUCAACAAUCUUCUGUAACUGUAAUAAUUAUUUAAAGGAGCAAUAUUUAAUAUGUUUUCUGUAUUAAAUCAUAAAAUGACAAUAAUAUGUCAUCAGAUAUUAAGCAUGCUAAGUUGAAAUACUUUCUUUUCUGACAACAAUGCUAAAGCCAGUAUUUUCUCUUUUGAAUUUUCCAUUCCGGUCCGGCACUAUUUGAUAUGUUCUUUUUUCACUCUUCUCAGGAGCAUUUCUUUGAUCCAGCAUCACGCUCCGGGUUUUUGGAGAUGAGACUUCGCAAUAUCCGCCGGAAGUUAGAGGAAGGUCAGCGCCGUUACAGUAGACACAAGAGGAGCCGAGAUGUUAAUGAAAUGUCAAGUUCUGUGCAGGAUGAAGGGGACAGCAGUGACGUCAGAGAGUUCAUCAACCUGAUGAAAAGGCUGAGGCCUUCUGCAGAAAACAUUUCCUCAAUCAAAUCAGCGAUGCAGAAACCUUCACCUGGCGCAAAUCGUGGAUAUCCAAACAUUCACCCACUAUGGAGGAAAUCUUGCAAGAGUAUCCACGCUUCUUGGAUAUACCAACACUGGGUCGCGGGGGUCGCUGGAGCCAAUCCCAAUCUCUGUCCACUGCAACCACCCAGCUUGAUACAGAGUUUGGUAAAAUGCAUGAAGGAAGGGGGGACCUGUUCCUAAGGUGGUGGGAGGCCAGCAUCAUGCCAAAGCUGAAAGCUGUUGCUGUUGCUGCCAGCGAGAAGGGUGAUGUUGCAUCUCUUGUUGAAGGGAUGGAAGACCAGAGUGAUGGUAUGUACUAAAUGUUACAUUUAAUUUCUUCAAUUUUGCCACAAAAUAGUUUAAUAUGCUUGUUUACCUCUCUUCUUACCCAACCCCUGUUUCUUGUUUGCAGAUGAGAAUUGCUACAUGAUGUUGGUCGUCCUUACUCAUCUCCUUCCACCAAUUGCAGCAAGCCGCUGUAGCGUCAAGUCUGCGAUUAAGCGACUUGUUGAUUUUGUACCGGUAUGUUUGUUCGGAAUCUUGAGUUAAUGUUGAUAAUCCUCGACAGGGUGUCUGCAGGUGCUUAAAAUGUCUUGAAUUAAAUUUUAUGAAUAUUAGGCCUUAAAAGUCAUUGAAUGGUCCACAUUUCUGAUGUGACAAAUCCUUAAACUUAUUUAAGGAGAGUAAUACACACAUUACGUUGAUGCAAGGCUAUCAGAAAGCAGUGUCAACAAAAAAAAAGCUUAGGCCUGCACACAUACUCCAAGCCACAUACGUUUAAAACAUGUUGCUUGGAGUAUGUGUGCAGGCAAAUAUGUACCUUUUUACUUUAUACUUGCACUUACCGGUUGGCAAAAUGUAGAUAAGCCAAACUCACUCUAAUAACCAUAUUCCUACAUAAAAUCUACUUCUGUAUGGGACCACAUACUUACCUGUAU
Scophthalmus maximus (turbot) is the source of this 2083-nucleotide long non-coding RNA. NCBI's taxonomy places the organism in Eukaryota, Metazoa, Chordata, Actinopteri, Pleuronectiformes, Scophthalmidae. The record is from Ensembl.